RNAcentral lists this ribosomal RNA (424 nucleotides) under uncultured prokaryote. RNAcentral describes it as "bacterial SSU rRNA". It matches the Rfam family "Bacterial small subunit ribosomal RNA", at positions 355 to 796 of the family's 1533-position model. The record is from RNAcentral.
UGGGGAAUAUUGGACAAUGGGGGGAACCCUGAUCCAGCCAUGCCGCGUGAGCGAUGAAGGCCUUAGGGUUGUAAAGCUCUUUCACCGGUGACGAUGAUGACGGUAGCCGGAGAAGAAGCCCCGGCUAACUCCGUGCCAGCAGCCGCGGUAAUACGGAGGGGGCAAGCGUUGUUCGGAAUGACUGGGCGUAAAGGGCGCGCAGGCGGUCUGUUGCGUCAGGCGUGAAAGCCCCGGGCUCAACCCGGGAACUGCGCUUGAUACGGGCAGGCUUGAAGCCGGCAGAGGGUGGUGGAAUUCCCAGUGUAGCGGUGAAAUGCGUAGAUAUUGGGAAGAACACCAGUGGCGAAGGCGCUCUACUGGGCCGCAACUGACACUGAGGGACGAAAGCUAGGGGAGCGAAUGGGAUUAGAUACCCGUGUAGUCC